Molecule: small nucleolar RNA, 92 nt
Organism: Misgurnus anguillicaudatus (oriental weatherfish)
Lineage: Eukaryota; Metazoa; Chordata; Actinopteri; Cypriniformes; Cobitidae
Product: small nucleolar SNORD12/SNORD106
Source: RefSeq, a predicted model, not a curated record
CUCGGUAGCGAUGAUGGCUCAACUUUUUUCCCCAACAGAUCGACCCUGUUGACUCUUUUUGACAAAUAAGCCAAAUAUUCUGAGCAACCGCA